Molecule: non-coding RNA, 21 nt
Filed under: Arabidopsis thaliana (thale cress)
Lineage: Eukaryota; Viridiplantae; Streptophyta; Magnoliopsida; Brassicales; Brassicaceae
Source: RNAcentral
UGGAAGGCCAUAGGUGCAUGU